AAUGAACGCUGGCGGCGUGCUUAACACAUGCAAGUCGUACGAGAAAUCACGCCUUCGGGUGUGAGAGUAAAGUGGCGCACGGGUGAGUAACGCGUGAGUAACCUACCCUUAAGUUUGGGAUAACCCUCCGAAAGGAGUGCUAAUACCAGAUAUGACCACGAGGUCUUCGGACCUUGGGGUAAAAGGUGGCCUCUACAUGUAAGCUACUGCUUUAGGAUGGGCUCGCGUGCUAUUAGCUAGUUGGUAGGGUAACGGCCUACCAAGGCUACGAUAGCUAGCUGGUCUGAGAGGAUGAUCAGCCACACUGGAACUGAAACACGGUCCAGACUCCUACGGGAGGCAGCAGUGAGGAAUUUUGCGCAAUGGGGGAAACCCUGACGCAGCAACGCCGCGUGAGUGAUGAAGGCCCUCGGGUCGUAAAGCUCUGUCAAGUGGGAAGAAAUCAUUUAAGGCCAAUACCCUUAUUUGUUGACGGUACCACUGAAGGAAGCACCGGCUAACUCCGUGCCAGCAGCCGCGGUAAUACGGAGGGUGCAAGCGUUAUUCGGAAUUACUGGGUGUAAAGCGAGUGUAGGCGGCUUGGUCAGUCAGAUGUGAAAGCUCCGGGCUUAACUCGGAAAGUGCAUUUGAAACUUCCAGGCUUGAGUACGGGAGAGGAAGGUGGAAUUCCCAGUGUAGAGGUGAAAUUCGUAGAUAUUGGGAGGAACACCGGUGGCGUAGGCGACCUUCUGGACCGAUACUGACGCUGAGACUCGAAAGCGUGGGGAGCAAACA
This 774-nucleotide ribosomal RNA is filed under the name delta proteobacterium enrichment culture clone MC18B6-24. Its description in RNAcentral is "bacterial SSU rRNA". It matches the Rfam family "Bacterial small subunit ribosomal RNA", at positions 28 to 774 of the family's 1533-position model. Lineage: Bacteria; Deltaproteobacteria. The record is from RNAcentral.